Molecule: RNA transcript, 2095 nt
Organism: Cucurbita moschata (crookneck pumpkin)
Lineage: Eukaryota; Viridiplantae; Streptophyta; Magnoliopsida; Cucurbitales; Cucurbitaceae
Exons: 13
Source: RefSeq, a predicted model, not a curated record
GAAAUGAAUCGGGCGUCGUGGCCGAAUCAUUAGCAUAAACAUGGCUUCGUUCUUUUAAGCAUUGUAAUCGCCACAGAACUUUGGUCUGUACUUCCAUUAGCGUCGGAAUCGCAUUCCCACGCAACAUAUGGAAACAUCCGUCGCCUCCGCCGCCGGCGCCACCAUUUUGUCGUCCUCUUCUGCCGUCUUUGGCCGCCGAUAUCGACGGAUUCUCCUAUCCAACAAAUAUAACAGACGCAAAUAUACUCUCAAGAGAGGAUUUGAAGAUUGUUUUCCCCUUUCCACUGAAUUUUCAGGUCAAACUGCAACACUGGUAUCGGGAACUUCACUUGUUUCUAUGAAGACGAUGAUCUCGAAUGGAUAUGUCGGCAGAGGAAGCAGUAGAAAUUCAAAUAUCAACAAGAUUUACAAGCGAUUGGAAUCUUGUUUGGUGGUACCGCCGCCAAAAGGUAAGCUACCUCGCGCUAUCAUCAAGUUCCUCGGCGGCGCUUUCAUCGGAGCUAUUCCUGAAGUUACAUACAGCUACUUAAUAGAGCUUUUGGCAAAGGAAGGGUUUCUGAUAAUCUCAGUCCCUUACAAUGUGACUUUCGAUCAUGCUGAUGCUACGAGACAAGUUUUUGAGAGAUUUCAUGCUUGUUUGGACACCAUUUUAGCUUCCGGAUUGCCCGAUGAAGAUAUUUCAUCUGCUCAACUCGUUAAUCUUCCUCUAUUUUCUGUGGGACAUAGCAAUGGCGCUCUUCUUCAAGUACUCACAGGGAGCUACUUCGCUGAAAAGAUACCGAAGGCUAAUGCUAUAAUCUCCUUCAACAACAGGCCAGCAACAGAGGCUGUUCCUUACUUUGAGCAGUUGGGCCCUUUAACCAGUCAGAUGAUGCCAGUUGUACAAGCUUCGCCAGUUUACUCAAUAGCUAGGAGUGUCUCAGAGGAUGCAUGGAAGAUGUUGCUUGAUGCUGCUGGAGCUAUUGUUCCUGACAGAGAUCUAGAAGUCUUGAACUCUCUGACCAAAUUUGUUGAUCAGUUACCCUCAGUGGUAAACCAGAUGACAGAAGGGGUAUCAGAGUUCAAGCCAACUCCAUCUGAGAAUCGAGAUUGCUUCAAGUGUUCUUACAAUGUCCAACACACGCUCCUGGUGAAGUUCAGUUCAGACAUGAUCGAUGAGACAGAUCUACUCGAACAAACUCUGAAACCACGCGUCGAAUCUAUUAAUGGCACGAUCGAGAAGAUCCAGUUAACUGGUAACCACCUCACACCAUGCAUACAGGAGCCAAAGUGGGAGGUAGGUAAGUUGUACACUCCUGCAGAUGCGGUUGCGCAGGCCCUUAAAUCUUUUAAGACAAAUGGAUCUGAGCAAUUAGAGAGCUCCAAUUACAGUGCUACAAAUCCAGUGGAGGCCCCAUAUUCUCUGAUUCGAUAUUUCUUCCAGUUGCACUGCACCUCUGACUGUGCCGAUGCGGCGCCCAUGGAUUUUUGGAAAAUGUGGCUGCUCUCUCUCUCUCUCUCUCUGCCUCUUGCCUUUACCUCCAUCUGAAGAGCCUUCUGAUCGCCCUAUGACCAUGACGUCGUCCAUUGCGGCAAAAUCUGGUUCAGAUACAAGGAAGUUCCCAAAUCAAUUUCAUUAUCAGAGGAAGAAGGGAGGUUGAUGGCUUCUGAUUUGUUUUGGUCCAAUAAUUUCCCAACUGGAGAGAGUGAAAAGGAGAUUCAUGGGGCAGUGGAGGAGGAGGAGGAAGAGGAGGAGGCUAUGGUGGCUGAGAUCAGGUCUGUGGAUGAGAAGCCUUUGGAGAUUGAUGGUCAGACUCACUGUACUUUUGAGAAUGUUCCAACUGGACAGAGUGAAGAAGCCAUGGAAUUUCCAGAUUGGUUGAGUAUCAAUGAUGAUUUUUUGCAGCCGCGUUCGAAUUAUCAGUUCUCAAAUGAGGAUUACCUUCAAGAUCCUGACCUAUCUUGCAUGGACAUUGGGGAGAUCGAAGAUGUGGAUGGAGAUUGGUUAGCAUGAUUGUUGGGUUUUUUAUCUCAUACCAUGCUCUUUAAUAAUAUGAGAAAACGAAUGAAGCAUCUUUUUUCCCCAAACGUGAUUCCCUCCCCCUACAUACUUUGA